This 1373-nucleotide long non-coding RNA is filed under the name Capsicum annuum. RNAcentral describes it as "long non-coding RNA (CANN_LNC003795)". Lineage: Eukaryota; Viridiplantae; Streptophyta; Magnoliopsida; Solanales; Solanaceae. The record is from RNAcentral.
ACCCUGAAAUAAUUCAAAAAACUAAAAAGAAAACAAAACAAACUACCAGACCUCUUCCUAGUAGGGAGAGGGGUGACUUCUCAAUUGCUCAACCUGACAAAUUAACCAGUGGUUUGCAUAUUAGCAUGACUAGAGCUUUCCUCACUGUCAAUGUUCUGCACCAUAACUGAUUUAUCUCGGAUUAUCUUUUCAAUUUCUCUUUUCAAAACACGACAAUCUUCAAUACUGUGACCCUGAACAUCAGAAUGAUAUGCAUAUUGUACAUUAGGAUCAAAACUUCUUAAAUGCGGGUCAGGAGUAUACCCAAGGAGAGAAGUAAUCAUACCCCACUGUUUCUAUCUCUGGAAUAAACUGGCGUACAACUUUCCAAUUGGUGUGAAACUAUCCCUCAAUUUCUGCCUCAUUUCAUUGCUUGACUUGGAUCGAACAUCGGGCCUAGAAGGGUUUUGGUAUGUUUGUGAAAUUGGAGGAUGACUUUAAGGAGUUGGUGCGCGUCAUUGUGGAUAAGGAGGGAGUUGAACAUAUGGUUGUGCGCAAUAUACUAGAUAUGGAGAUGGGGACACUGAGUAUAAUGGAUUUUGGAAGUGAUUGUGGAGAGCUUGGGUAUGAACUUGGGCUUGAGAUUGAUGGCAACGACGACAUCGUCUUCUUGGAUGUGCUCGUUCUCCAACUACAAUAGCAAUGUCAUUUUUCUCUUUCUUCUUCCCUCUAGUUUCCCUUAAUUGAUUGCAAUAUUGUUCCAAAUGCUUCACAGAUUCCUCAUGCCCAUCUUGCUCCUCAAAUUUCGAUAUCUCGAGGAUUGCAGGAAGGUUAGCACUUGAAGAAAUGCCCCAGUCUUUGUAGGAAACAUCUUCUUUAUCCGUAGGUCCUACAGAAUUUUUCAUAGCAUUUUUUGUCCUCUUCCUUUUUCCAAUUAUUUUUUUCGACUCUUCUGACACUCUGGACUUUUUGUUAAGAAAUUUUGGUGGUCCAGUUAAAUUAAAAGCAGGCUCAGGAGUACAACAAUGAUCACCAAGAGUAUUGAAUAUGGGUUCACUAGCAGCAUGGGGAUGCACAACCGUUGGGCGAGCCAGUGUGGAAGUCCCAAUAGAGGAUUGAGCAACAAGAUCACAAACGACAUGUGGUAUUGUGAAUGUAGCAGUCUUAUGCUGAGGAUCUAGAGAAAAAUUGGUCGAAGUAUUAAGAUGCUUUUGGCUUGGAAUAAAUUCUGAGUCAUGUUGUGGUGUAUCAACAACAGUAGAAAACUGACUUUGCGAUUUUUCAAAACCUUUUUUUCCUGUUAAAAGAUCACCGAACCCAAGAAGGGAGCCUACGUAUCUCACUCUGGAGAGAAGAGAAUCGGGUGUGCGUAGUUCGUGAAACUUUGCUAAAAU